Molecule: long non-coding RNA, 944 nt
Filed under: Salmo salar (Atlantic salmon)
Lineage: Eukaryota; Metazoa; Chordata; Actinopteri; Salmoniformes; Salmonidae
Description: lncRNA (ENSSSAG00000108173.1)
Source: RNAcentral
GGAGUUUUUGUGAGUGGUCAGGCAGGGAACAAUGACACUGGAGAUGCGCGUCCACGAGAGGACUCCAUGUUUUUCUUUCAGUCUUUGAAUGAAUACAACGUUGUCUGGUUGGAAUAUUAUCGCUACUUUACGAGAAAAAUCGCAUAAAAAUUGAUUUUAAACAGCGUUUGACAUGCUUCGAAGUACGGUAAUGGAAUAUUUUGCAUUUUUUUGUCACGAAAUGCGCUCGCGCGUCACCCUUCGGAUUGUGACCUGAACGCACGAACAAAACGGAGCUAUUUCAAUAUAACUAUGGAUUAUUUGGAACCAAAACAACAUUUGUUGUUGAAGUAUAAGUCCUGGGAGUGCAUUCUGACGAAGAACAGCAAAGCCUGUCCUCCUGAGGCGCUCCACCCUACCUAGGUCCUGGAGAAGGGAAAAGGCACAGGGGAAUCUCCAAAGUCAAAGGUAUGUUCUUGGAGUCAGGUGAGCACAUUGUUGUACACACUGCUAUUGUUGGAGCAAGGUGAGAUGUGUUAUAUUUCUCUGCUUUGCUUGUACCUGAGGUUAGGGAAGUCAGAUACAUGGGAACAGAGAGCUCAACAAUUUUCGACUAGCAGGCACUUAGAUAUCAUGGGCACUCUCGCUCUUGGAAGGAUGUGGGUGCUGGGCUCAUCAUGACGUAACUACAGAACAGCAGGCCGCCUGGUAGACUUGACUGAAUGGAUGUUUAAACCAGCAGGAACACGCCUGAAGCUGUAGAGAUGUUUCUUGUGUAUCCAGUUAGAACUACUUUCUCCCCAGCUGGAAUGGUGACAUGCUUUUUGCUCUGUAACUUUACUUUUCCAACUCUCUUGAUUAAUUUUGUAUCCGCUAUACAGGUUUUUCACAAGAGGAGAGUAAGCUCUAUCCUCUAUCCUGCAGUAAUUGUUCUUCUCAUUGUCAGUUGCACAUUUUCUAUACAG